AGGUGCGACCAUACCAGCACUAAUGCACCGGAUCCCAUCAGAACUCCGCAGUCAAGCGUGUUUGGGCGAGAGUAGUACUAGGCAGUGAAGCGUGCUUGGGCGAGAGUAGUACUAGGACGGGUGACCUCCAUGGAAGUCCUCGUGUUGCACUUC
This 153-nucleotide ribosomal RNA is filed under the name Phaseolus vulgaris (common bean). Lineage: Eukaryota; Viridiplantae; Streptophyta; Magnoliopsida; Fabales; Fabaceae. The record is from RNAcentral.